Molecule: ribosomal RNA, 420 nt
Filed under: uncultured bacterium
Lineage: Bacteria
Description: partial 16S ribosomal RNA
Rfam family: Bacterial small subunit ribosomal RNA
Source: RNAcentral
UUCCACAAUGGGCGAAAGCCUGAUGGAGUAACGCCGCGUGGGUGAAGAAGGUCUUCGGAUCGNAAAACCCUGUUGUUAGAGAAGANNGUNNNUNAGAGUAACUGUUCACGUUUCGACGGUAUCUAACCAGNNNGNCNCGGCUAACUACGUGCCAGCAGCCGCGGUAAUACGUAGGUGGCAAGCGUUAUCCGGAUUUAUUGGGCGUAAAGGGAACGCAGGCGGUCUUUUAAGUCUGAUGUGAAAGCCUUCGGCUUAACCGGAGUAGUGCAUUGGAAACUGGGAGACUUGAGUGCAGAAGAGGAGAGUGGAACUCCAUGUGUAGCGGUGAAAUGCGUAGAUAUAUGGAAGAACACCAGUGGCGAAAGCGGCUCUCUGGUCUGUAACUGACGCUGAGGUUCGAAAGCGUGGGUAGCAAACAGG